GAUGAACGCUGGCGGCGUGCCUAAUACAUGCAAGUCGAGCGAACAGACGAGGAGCUUGCUCCUCUGACGUUAGCGGCGGACGGGUGAGUAACACGUGGAUAACCUACCUAUAAGACUGGGAUAACUUCGGGAAACCGGAGCUAAUACCGGAUAAUAUAUUGAACCGCAUGGUUCAAUAGUGAAAGACGGUUUUGCUGUCACUUAUAGAUGGAUCCGCGCCGCAUUAGCUAGUUGGUAAGGUAACGGCUUACCAAGGCAACGAUGCGUAGCCGACCUGAGAGGGUGAUCGGCCACCCUGGAACUGAGACACGGUCCAGACUCCUACGGGAGGCAGCAGUAGGGAAUCUUCCGCAAUGGGCGAAAGCUUGACGGAGCAACGCCGCGUGAGUGAUGAAGGUCUUCGGAUCGUAAAACUCUGUUAUUAGGGAAGAACAAAUGUGUAAGUAACUAUGCACGUAUUGACGGUACCUAAUCAGAAAGCCACGGCUAACUACGUG
RNAcentral lists this ribosomal RNA (497 nucleotides) under uncultured bacterium. Its description in RNAcentral is "partial 16S ribosomal RNA". It matches the Rfam family "Bacterial small subunit ribosomal RNA", at positions 28 to 507 of the family's 1533-position model. The record is from RNAcentral.